Molecule: long non-coding RNA, 533 nt
Filed under: Panax ginseng (ginseng)
Lineage: Eukaryota; Viridiplantae; Streptophyta; Magnoliopsida; Apiales; Araliaceae
Description: long non-coding RNA (PGIN_LNC009005)
Source: RNAcentral
CCACAUACCAAUCAAGAUAUUAAAAGCCCCAGGUUUGCCACAAAUGGAGUAUUAAAUUACACAUACCAUUUAAAAAAGAAAUUGAAACCACAAUCAAAAAUUAAACCAAGAUGCACUCUAUAAUUGCUGUUAAUACAAAAUUAACCCAGUCCAAAUCUCUGUUUGGUCUGUUUUGUUUGUGUUAGGGCUGAGAUUUUUAGAGAGAUAAACAAAAUUGAAAAAAAUAUAAACCCUAAAUUCAUACCUGAUUGUUGUUUGCAGAGAGCGAUGGUGGUGCUGAGAUGGUAAAGGAGCAGCGGAAGAGACGCGAAAUCGAAAGAACUAGGUCGCGACGAGAGAGAGAUGGACGCGGGAGGGGUUUUUUUGCACGGAGCGAUGGUGAGGCAGAGAGUGUUAUGUUUUGUCUGAUAAGUUGAAGUGAAGAGACAGAAAAAAUAAAAGGACAUUAUAUAGGUAAGCAAAGUAUGUAAGGAUCAGGGUAAGUCCCUGAUCCGGACUCUCUCUCUCUCUCUAAAUAUAUGGCUAUAUUACAC